RNAcentral lists this ribosomal RNA (156 nucleotides) under Isorchis currani. RNAcentral's name for it is "partial 18S ribosomal RNA". It matches the Rfam family "Eukaryotic small subunit ribosomal RNA", at positions 1636 to 1785 of the family's 1831-position model. RNAcentral also lists the same sequence under 1 other name. Lineage: Eukaryota; Metazoa; Platyhelminthes; Trematoda; Plagiorchiida; Atractotrematidae. The record is from RNAcentral.
UUGCGCUGAUUACGUCCCUGCCCUUUGUACACACCGCCCGUCGCUACUACCGAUUGAAUGGUUUAGCAAGGUCCUCGGAUUGAUGCCAUUGUAGUUGCUUCGGCAGCUCGACCGGUGUUGAAAAGACGACCGAACUUGAUCAUUUAGAGGAAGUAA